This 301-nucleotide long non-coding RNA is filed under the name Numida meleagris (helmeted guineafowl). RNAcentral describes it as "lncRNA (ENSNMEG00000017431.1)". The record is from RNAcentral. Lineage: Eukaryota; Metazoa; Chordata; Aves; Galliformes; Numididae.
CAGCUAUAAUUUUGACUUCUUAUAUAUCUGAAUGUUUUCUUUAUUGCUGUUACUACUUCACGUUCCAAUUUAGACUUCACUGCACUGAAACCACAACUUUAGGACAAAAGAAGAAUAUUUAUUAACAACAAAGAAAGGGGAAAGAAUAAGAAAUAGUUUAGCUGCACAUGGAUUGAGAAAUCAAGUACAUUAAAGAAGACAAGAGAGUACAGUGUAAGCACUGUUUCUCAUACGUCUCUGAACAUCUGCGGAAGAUACACAUCUCAGUGCCGCUGAAUACAGAAAUGAGACACAGUCUGUU